CCUACGGGCGGCAGCAGUGAGGAAUAUUGGGCAAUGGGCGGAAGCCUGAACCAGCCAAGUAGCGUGCAGGAUGACGGCCCUACGGGUUGUAAACUGCUUUUAUACGGGAAUAACGCGCCUUACGUGUAGGGCUUUGUAUGUACCGUAUGAAUAAGGACCGGCUAAUUCCGUGCCAGCAGCCGCGGUAAUACGGAAGGUCCGGGCGUUACCCGGAUGUAUUGGGUUUAAAGGGAGCGUAGGCGGCAUGUCAAGCGUGCUGUGAAAUGUCCGGGCUCAACCCGGGCCUUGCAGCGCGAACUGGCGUGCUGGAGUCCGCGGGAGGCAGGCGGAAUUCGAGGUGUAGGGGUGAAAUGCUUAGAUAUGACGAAGAACCCCGAUGGCGAAGGCAGCUUGCUGCAGCGGAACUGACGCUGAUGCUCGAAAGCGUGGGUAUCGAACAGGACUAGAUACCCGUGUAGUC
This 460-nucleotide ribosomal RNA is filed under the name uncultured bacterium. RNAcentral describes it as "partial 16S ribosomal RNA". It matches the Rfam family "Bacterial small subunit ribosomal RNA", at positions 338 to 795 of the family's 1533-position model. The record is from RNAcentral.